UACAAUUUAAAGUUUUAUUUCAGAAAUGUA
RNAcentral lists this non-coding RNA (30 nucleotides) under Mus musculus (house mouse). The record is from RNAcentral. Lineage: Eukaryota; Metazoa; Chordata; Mammalia; Rodentia; Muridae.